Molecule: ribosomal RNA, 301 nt
Filed under: uncultured bacterium
Lineage: Bacteria
Description: partial 16S ribosomal RNA
Rfam family: Bacterial small subunit ribosomal RNA
Source: RNAcentral
CAGUAGCCGCGGUAAUACAGAGGGUGCAAGCGUUAAUCGGAAUUACUGGGCGUAAAGCGCGCGUAGGUGGUUUGUUAAGUUGGAUGUGAAAUCCCCGGGCUCAACCUGGGAACUGCAUCCAAAACUGGCAAGCUAGAGUAUGGUAGAGGGUGGUGGAAUUUCCUGUGUAGCGGUGAAAUGCGUAGAUAUAUGAAGGAACACCAGUGGCGAAGGCGACCACCUGGACUGAUACUGACACUGAGGUGCGAAAGCGUGGGGAGCAAACAGGAUUAGAUACCCGCGUAGUCCCUGUCUCUUAUAC